UCCCUGCUGGCUCAGAUGGUAAAGCAUCUGCCUGUAAUGCAGGAGACCUGGGUUCGAUCCCUGGGUUGGGAA
This 72-nucleotide transfer RNA is filed under the name Ovis aries (sheep). It matches the Rfam family "tRNA". Rfam says of the family: Transfer RNA (tRNA) molecules are approximately 80 nucleotides in length. The record is from Rfam by way of RNAcentral. Lineage: Eukaryota; Metazoa; Chordata; Mammalia; Artiodactyla; Bovidae.